Peromyscus leucopus (white-footed mouse) is the source of this 2547-nucleotide long non-coding RNA. RefSeq lists it as uncharacterized. Lineage: Eukaryota; Metazoa; Chordata; Mammalia; Rodentia; Cricetidae. The record is from RefSeq and is a predicted model, not a curated record. The transcript has 3 exons.
CCACCCAUCCACAAAUCCCUGUGUGCUGGCCACCACUCAUUUAGGGAAAUGUCCUAAUUUAUAGGGAGCACAGCCUCACCCCCACCCUCACUGUCACGAAGUAACCUUCUAGCCAGGACCUUAAAGUCAAUUGAUUGUUUGACUAAAGGGUGUUACAUGGCCAAAGGGCACAGAUGUCCUAUAAUAAGACUAUUCACAGUGUGUGGGUGGGUAGGGGUGGGGGGGUGUCAUCUCUGAGUAGAUGCCACUUAAGCCGAGAAUUAAAGGAUGAAGAGAGGGGUAGAAUGUAGCUCAGUGGGUAGCGUUUGCCCUGAUCCACCUCCAUAUACAAAGCCCUGGGUUCGAUCCCCAGAAUCAUCUAAACCAGGCAUGAUGGCGCAUGUCUGAAAUCCCAGCAUUUGGGUGGUGGAGGCCAGAGGGCCCAAAGUUAAAGGUCUUUCUGGCUGUAUAGUAAAUUUGAAGCCGGCCUGGGCUAUACAAGAUCGUCUCUCAGAGAACAAGAUGCUUUCAAGGGGACAGUGGAGCAGGGAACAGGGGCGUGAACCGGUACAGGGAAGGGAUGGGACACGGGCCUGGAGGCCUUCAAGGCCCAGAGAGCAUAGGGAGGGACACGAUGCCAUUCCAUCACCCUGUGAAAAGAACUGGUUUCCUUCCACACCUUUAACAUGGCCCCAGAUGAGGCCAGAGAGGGGCUUGGGGGAGCCAGACCUUUCUGCAGGGCCCUCCCGGAUAAACUGCUUUAAAGGGAAACCCAGAAAGCAAACAAGACAGCUCUGUCCGUCAGCCUUCAUUUCUCUAAACAAGCAGCAGGCUGAGCCCAUCCUGGGAAAGCAAUUCCACCCAGGAAGUAGUCCUUGGAAAGAGAGAGGAGUUGGCUCAGCCUCCUCUCAGCGGAAGUGGUGGCGGGACCCAUGUGUACUAUGCAAAUACAGCCACAUGCAAACCAGACCUUGAGCCGAUUGGCCCAGGACCAAAGUUCUCCAGGUCGCUGCUGCUGCUGCUGCUGCUGCUGCUGCUGCUGCUGCUGCUGCUGCUGCUGCUGAGCAGGGAGGGCAGAGACAGCACUGGCCUCUGGCCUUGGCUUGCCUGCUCCACUGCCGUGGCUCCACCAGCCCUGUUACUGCCACGUGGGCACACGACCAGGACUUUCCCAAGCCGAACCCUUGUUCUAGAAGCAUUGCUACAGCUAUAACCACCCACUUGAGAGUAGGAGCCAGGACGCCUGUGAUCACGCUCGGCACCCAACAGGCAAGUGAGAAAUCGGUUUCCUGAGACGUGGAACUGCCUCUCAGAUUUGUGAGCGGGGGCUAUGCUCAGAGGCUCAUCGGCGGCUCGCCAGUUCCCAGAGCUUCUGUCCUGACCUCGUGGAGGGAAGGUUCUGGAGGAGACCUCGCUUGGCCACUUGGUUCCUGAUCCCACCGUUUGCCGCCCCCCCCCGGGGGGAGUUAAUUGCUGCUGUGUGGGAGAAUGGCAGCCCUCUUGACAGCUCCACAGAGCUGACACAGGCUGUCCCCGUCUCUGCGUUAGGAGUUUAGGUGUGGCUCUGCAGGGUCCACUUCCCAGCGUCAUCUCACAAGGGUGGCAUCUAGAGUCAUUCGGUGCUGUGAUGUCAAGGGAGGCUUACCUGGGCAGGAAUCCUCUUCCAGGUCCUUGCGUUGGCUUUGGAAUAUUGGGUUCUGGGCUUUGCAUUUUCACUGACAUCCCUCUGGGGGCUGAAUCCUCUGUUCCUAGAGGCUCAACUCUGUUCCUUGCCCAUCAGGACCUCCCCAACCUGGUCCCUUUGUCCUCAAGGGACCUCAGGAUGGAAGCAGCAAGGACCAAAUGCAGCCAUGCCAUCAAAUCCACUCAAACGUGGCCGAGGCAGGUUGGUGCCACAUUUCAGGUGGCUCCUGGAGUUCUCAACGCUACCCCAAAGCACUUUUUCCUGUACUCCUUCUUCCCACAGCCAGGAUCCCUCGUGGGACUCCAGGCCACCUGCACAUCUGGUUCUUCCUCUGCCUUCUGACGUCGGCUCAGGAGAGGACUUUGGAGGCACCCCACCUGCUUCGUUGACAACGGCCUGAGUUAAGCCUCUCCACAGCUGAGCACACUGCCAGAGUGUGGUAAACUGCUGCAAUUACCCAGCUUAGCAGGCUCGCUCGCUCGCUCAGGCUCCGGGAAGGCCAGCCCUUCCCAGGGAAGCCAACAGGACCCACGCAGGUCUGCCUAAGACCGUGGAAUUCAACCUUGAAGUGGCUCCACCAGCUGCCUCCCUGUGGACUAGGGCAUCACAAGCAACACUCGGAUUGCUUCGCUCACUUCAGUCACCCCAGGGACUCCUGGCUUUUGGGAGUCGGCACAUUUCACCCUGAGACCCCGGGGUCAUUUGGUAGAGCCUGGAAAAGAAACUGUAGGCUGCAUUGUGAAAUAACGAAGUGACAGAGAAUGGAGUCCGUUUCUAGAGGGGACCACAAACACAGGAGUGUUUACGAUUUCAGGAGAUGUGUAAGCUGUGUGUGUGUGUGUGUGUUGUGUGUGUGUGUGUGUGUUUUGUGGUAUAUGUGGUGU